CACGUAGUUAGCCGGAGCUUCCUCCUUAGGUACUGUCUUUUUCUUCCCUAACGACAAUGGUUUACAAUCCGAAAACCUUCUUCCUAUACGCGGCGUCACUGCGUCAGAGUUUCCUCCAUUGCGCAAUAUUCCCGACUGCUGCCUCCCGUAGGAGUCUGGGCCGUAUCUCAGUCCCAAUGUGGCCGUUCAACCUCUCAGUCCGGCUACUGAUCGUCGCCUUGGUAGGCCUUUACCCCACCAACUAGCUAAUCAGACGCAAGCCCAUCUAUUAGCGGAUUGCUCCUUUCCCACUACCACCAUGUGGUGAUUAUGGCAUAUGCGGUAUUAGCAAUGAUUUCUCACUGUUAUUCCCCUCUAAUAGGCAGGUUGCUUACGUGUUACUCACCAGUCCGCCACUAACCGCUUCAAUUUGUAAACAAACUGAUUAAGUUCGUUCGACUUGCAUGUCUUAUGUGCGCCGCCAGCGUUUUAUCCUGAGCCAGGAUCAAACUCU
RNAcentral lists this ribosomal RNA (493 nucleotides) under uncultured Bacillota bacterium. RNAcentral describes it as "uncultured Firmicutes bacterium partial 16S ribosomal RNA". Lineage: Bacteria; Bacillati; Bacillota. The record is from RNAcentral.